UGAAGAUGAAGAUCUAACCAUGUGCUU
Molecule: non-coding RNA, 27 nt
Filed under: Homo sapiens (human)
Lineage: Eukaryota; Metazoa; Chordata; Mammalia; Primates; Hominidae
Source: RNAcentral